This 375-nucleotide ribosomal RNA is filed under the name uncultured bacterium. Its description in RNAcentral is "bacterial SSU rRNA". It matches the Rfam family "Bacterial small subunit ribosomal RNA", at positions 521 to 896 of the family's 1533-position model. The record is from RNAcentral.
UAAUACGAAGGGGGCUAGCGUUGUUCGGAAUUACUGGGCGUAAAGGGCGCGUAGGCGGUGUGUCAAGUCAGGCGUGAAAGCCCCGGGCUCAACCUGGGAACCGCGCUUGAGACUGGCACGCUCGAGUUCGGGAGAGGAUGGUGGAAUUCCCAGUGUAGAGGUGAAAUUCGUAGAUAUUGGGAAGAACACCGAUGGCGAAGGCAGCCAUCUGGACCGACACUGACGCUGAGGCGCGAAAGCGUGGGGAGCAAACAGGAUUAGAUACCCUGGUAGUCCACGCCGUAAACGAUGGAUGCUAGCCGUUGGCAGGCUUGCCUGUCAGUGGCGCAGCUAACGCAUUAAGCAUCCCGCCUGGGGAGUACGGUCGCAAGAUUA